CGCUUUUGUGCAUGCCAACGCUCCAAUACAAUUACGCUCAUUUGCUCCUGCUGCUCCUACGUAUCCGGCACCACUCUACCGCGCAUUCGGUUUCACUUACGGACAGCCAUUGGUUUACGCUACAGCUGAAUUUAAGAACUAAAUCCUUAAUUGAUUUCCUGGAGAAUUAUUGCUUAAUUAUUGGCAGCAAUGCUGGCUGACACUUUGUAAUGAAAUAAAUCGGAAAUUCUGUAAAUAAAAUUCCUACUUACUUGUAA
Long non-coding RNA from Rhagoletis pomonella (apple maggot), 257 nucleotides. RefSeq lists it as uncharacterized. The record is from RefSeq and is a predicted model, not a curated record. The transcript has 2 exons. NCBI's taxonomy places the organism in Eukaryota, Metazoa, Arthropoda, Insecta, Diptera, Tephritidae.